CUCAGGUCUACCCUGGUGACCCCAGGUGCACCCGCUACCCCUGGUGGUGGGAAGUCGCAUCCGGGUGACUACCAGUGAGCCCCAGUGGCUGCCCAAGUCCGGCUGGGCCUCUAGGCCACAAGAGAGUGAACCAAGAUGGCUGGCAGGCCCUCAGUUCCUGGCCCCGGUGCCGCAGAGCCUGGCCGGGGAGACUGGAAGAGCAAGGAAGUGGCCUUGGUGAAGGUGAGGCUUUGAGCGUCCUGCUGCAUCGCCCCCAUCCGAUUUCUCCUUCUUUGCCUUCAGACUCCUUCCCAGAUCCCUUCCGAGAGAUGUGUGUGAGGCCAGCAUGCAAAGUCCGCCAGCCUCACUUUCUACACCGCAGUCCCUGCGCGCACCUGGCAACAGUCCUGUCUGCUUUGCAUCGCACCUCCAGGAAGAGCCAGUGCUCCAGAGAUUACACCUGAGCCCUAUCAGCAAUUGUGUACUUAAAGACUAGAGGCUUCCCCGUGCAGCCCUGCCCUAGCCACGCUGCCCUGGCUCUAGUGGUCAAACUUCAUGGGUUGGCGGUGGUUGUAGACUCUCUGGGGAGCUGUUUUUUCACAGCAAGUUUUGAGGAAGUCAGAAGUGGGGCGUUUACUCACACCUCCUCUCACCUCUUCGGGGAAGAGGAAGGAAUGGGAUAGGGUGGAGCCAGGUGGGACUUGGAAGAGGCCGAGGAAGUGAGGGUGGGACCAGGUAGGGUGGGGAGGGGUGGGGUUUGUGCCGCAGGAAGUGCGGUAUAACUGGAUGUUGUGCUGGAAACACUUGGACACCGCUGCAUGAAUACAGCACUGUAAUGUAUAACAGAACAUAAAACUACAGUACUGUACUGUACAGUACAAUCAGCAAAAAUUACUGUACUCGUGGAAGCCACCAUAAGCCUGGAGUAAAUCCGAAUGUGGAUGGGUCAGAACAGCUGCCAUCACCAG
Molecule: long non-coding RNA, 947 nt
Filed under: Heterocephalus glaber (naked mole-rat)
Lineage: Eukaryota; Metazoa; Chordata; Mammalia; Rodentia; Bathyergidae
Description: lncRNA (ENSHGLG00000044896.1)
Source: RNAcentral